RNAcentral lists this unclassified non-coding RNA (294 nucleotides) under Hevea brasiliensis (rubber tree). Lineage: Eukaryota; Viridiplantae; Streptophyta; Magnoliopsida; Malpighiales; Euphorbiaceae. The record is from RNAcentral.
AUGGGACUGUAUAUACUAUUAUGAAAUAAAUAAAAGGACGCGUCAUAGAGAGAGAGAACAAAGGAAGCACACAACAAAAGCAUCAGCGAAAUGCAUCCCAACUUUCUUUUACCGUCUCCACCAAUUUCUUUGUAUGUGUUAACGCAUGUAAGAGUAUCGACUCAGAUUGAUAUUCAUAUCAGUGAUGGUGACGGGCAUUUGCAACCCAAUGCUUUCCACUUGCAAGAUUUCGAUUUCCACUUGCAACAUGCUUGACCUCUCCUCGGUGACACCUGUUUUGUAGAGUUUCUGGGC